This 516-nucleotide ribosomal RNA is filed under the name uncultured delta proteobacterium. Its description in RNAcentral is "bacterial SSU rRNA". It matches the Rfam family "Bacterial small subunit ribosomal RNA", at positions 25 to 523 of the family's 1533-position model. The record is from RNAcentral. Lineage: Bacteria; Deltaproteobacteria.
CAGAGCGAACGUUAGCGGCGGGCCUAACACAUGCAAGUCGAGCGAGAAAGUGGCUUCGGCCAUCAGUAAAGCGGCGGACGGGUGAGUAACACGUAGGUAAUCUUCCCUCGAGCGGGGGACAACGUUUCGAAAGGAACGCUAAUACCGCAUACGUUUCCAGGGACCCUGGUCCCUGGAAGGAAAGCUAGGUCGCAAGAUCCGGCACUCGAGGAGGAGCCUGCGUCGCAUCAGCUAGUUGGUGGGGUAACGGCCUACCAAGGCGAAGACGCGUAGCUGGUCUGAGAGGAUGAUCAGCCACACUGGGACUGAGACACGGCCCAGACUCCUACGGGAGGCAGCAGUGGGGAAUAUUGGACAAUGGGCGCAAGCCUGAUCCAGCCACGCCGCGUGAGUGAUGAAGGCCUUCGGGUCGUAAAGCUCUGUGGGGAGGGACGAACCGCUGCUGGUUAAUACCCAGCAGCAUGACGGUACCUCCUUAGCAAGCACCGGCUAACUUCGUGCCAGCAGCCGCGGUAA